This is a long non-coding RNA of Hermetia illucens (black soldier fly), 850 nucleotides long. RefSeq lists it as uncharacterized. The record is from RefSeq and is a predicted model, not a curated record. The transcript is spliced from 3 exons. NCBI's taxonomy places the organism in Eukaryota, Metazoa, Arthropoda, Insecta, Diptera, Stratiomyidae.
CACGAGGCCGGUGUAGGAACCGGUCUCCUGACAGUCUCAAGCCAGUCGCUGACCGCACGGGUCAUUAUUAUUAAUAUCUUAUAGUAGAAUUGAAUACAAUAAAAAAUUGAAUUAGUUGCCAUUUUAAUAUUUUAAGAGAAAAGUCCUAUCGUUUUAAGGAUAAUGUUAUGUUGGUUUUUUCUGUUCAAUGUUUUAAUCGUAAUUCAUAACUCAAAAUAUAGAACAAAGCUUGGGAUUCCUUUUUAAACGUGACUUAUAACUAUUAAUCAACGAAACUUAUUUUUAUUUUUCACUUUUGACAUCGGAAAGGAAAAACAAUCUUUCCGAUAUCACGACCAACGCAAUUCUUCAAACUGAGUAAGUUCGCACCGGCACAUAUACAGACAUCGAAUCGCUUCUUAUAAGUCUUUGUCCCGUUCAGAAGUGGGGUCAGCAAAAUAAUGGCAGUAUUAUGAAAUAAAGUUUUGCGUUCAAUUAUAUGUAUCAAAUAUCACAACCGACACAAUAUUCCUUCAAGCAGUUCAAGCGAAAAGUAGUGAUGAAGUUGAAGCACAUAUCGCAACUACGUUGAGUUUGUUUCACAUUGUCGAUCCAAAAGAAUUUUAUAAUCUCGAAAACCGGUUCUCCCAGCGAAGCUAAUAAAAUUACCCCGAUAAAUUGUGCAGAUUUUAUUACGCGGAAAGUUGACAGAGAUAGAAAGAAUAUAAUGUUUCGAAAUAACGAACAAGCUCUGUUUUUUUUGCUAUCUCAAGAGGCUACUGUAUUAAAUGCGAUGAUUCAAUCCUUAUUAAAAAAAUACUGCCCUAGCAGUAGACGACAUUAGUAAUAAGGAAAGUAUUAAAUAAUGAAA